AGAUUCUCGGUGGAACCACCAGUCGUGACGACCGUCUCACUGCCUUGGAUACUGACGAUGGAGGUGCGAAACUUGUGGUUAUCACACAGGAUUAGAUACCGUGUUAGUCCACACCGGAAACGCCGAAUGCCCGUCGUCGAGCAGUAUACUGUUCGGUGACACACCUAUCGGAUUAAUCAUUGCGCUUUUUUAGUACGAUCGCAAGAUUAAAACUCAAGGGAAUUGACGGGGGCCCGCACAAGCGGUGGAGCAUGUCGCUUAAUUUGACGCAGCGCGCAGAACCUUAACAACCCGUGACAUCCUAGGACAACUCCAGAGAUGGAGCCUUCGUUCGGGUCCUAGUGACUGGUGCUGCAUGGCAGUCGUCAGCAAAGUUCGAGAUGUUCGGUUAAGUCCGGCAACGAGGGCAACCCACAUCCCUAGUUGCCAGCAUUUUGGCUGGGCACUCCAGGAAAACUGCCCGUGAUAAGUCGGAGGAAGGUGUGGAUGACGUCAAGUCCUCA
Molecule: ribosomal RNA, 503 nt
Filed under: uncultured organism
Description: bacterial SSU rRNA
Rfam family: Bacterial small subunit ribosomal RNA
Source: RNAcentral